Molecule: ribosomal RNA, 429 nt
Filed under: Actinomycetes bacterium
Lineage: Bacteria; Bacillati; Actinomycetota; Actinomycetes
Description: Actinobacteria bacterium partial 16S ribosomal RNA
Rfam family: Bacterial small subunit ribosomal RNA
Source: RNAcentral
UAGGGAAUCUUCCGCAAUGUGCGAAAGCCUGACGGAGCAACGCCGCGUGAGUGAUGAAGGUCUUCGGAUCGUAAAACUCUGUUAUUAGGGAAGAACAAAUGUGUAAGUAACUAUGCACGUCUUGACGGUACCUAAUCAGAAAGCCACGUCUAACUACGUGCCAGCAGCCGCGGUAAUACGUAGGUGGCAAGCGUUAUCCGGAAUUAUUGGGCGUAAAGCGCGCGUAGGCGGUUUUUUAAGUCUGAUGUGAAAGCCCACGGCUCAACCGUGGAGGGUCAUUGGAAACUGGAAAACUGGAGUGCAGAAGAGGAAAGUGGAAUUCCAUGUGUAGCGGUGAAAUGCGCAGAGAUAUGGAGGAACACCAGUGGCGAAGGCGACUUUCUGGUCUGUAACUGACGCUGAUGUGCGAAAGCGUGGGGAUCAAACAGG